Molecule: transfer RNA, 77 nt
Filed under: Chloroflexota bacterium
Lineage: Bacteria; Bacillati; Chloroflexota
Description: Chloroflexi bacterium tRNA-Val
Rfam family: tRNA
About the family: Transfer RNA (tRNA) molecules are approximately 80 nucleotides in length. Their secondary structure includes four short double-helical elements and three loops (D, anti-codon, and T loops). Further hydrogen bonds mediate the characteristic L-shaped molecular structure. tRNAs have two regions of fundamental functional importance: the anti-codon, which is responsible for specific mRNA codon recognition, and the 3' end, to which the tRNAs corresponding amino acid is attached (by aminoacyl-tRNA synthetases). tRNAs cope with the degeneracy of the genetic code in two manners: having more than one tRNA (with a specific anti-codon) for a particular amino acid; and 'wobble' base-pairing, i.e. permitting non-standard base-pairing at the 3rd anti-codon position.
Source: RNAcentral
GGGUGAUUAGCUCAGCUGGUUAGAGCGCUACUCUUACAAAGUAGAGGCCGCAGGUUCGAGUCCUGCAUCGCCCACCA